Long non-coding RNA from Lineus longissimus, 532 nucleotides. RefSeq lists it as uncharacterized. NCBI's taxonomy places the organism in Eukaryota, Metazoa, Nemertea, Pilidiophora, Heteronemertea, Lineidae. The record is from RefSeq and is a predicted model, not a curated record. The transcript is spliced from 4 exons.
UUCUGCUCACAGGCAUUCUGCUCACAAGUCAGGUGACCAAGCGAGAGACUCCAUCAUAAAACGUCAUUGUCGUUAGUUGAUCAUCAUGAAUCGAUUCAUCGUCCUUAUGUUGGUAUUGUUUGCAUUCACCCUUACACAGAGUGCAGGACCCGAAGCCCGCGAACAUGGGAAACGAUCACAUGAAGAGAAGAAGGGUUUGGGAUUAAAGAGGCGAAAGGUGUGCUCCUCAGAAUGUCCAAGUGACGGAACCUGUUUCACGAACGGAGAAUGCUAGUAAUUUUUUAAUGAUACAGUCCUAAUCACAAAUGACAUCCCGUAAAUCGCGUCAUUGGUGCGUCAUUGACGCGCUACCCGGCGCGCAGGUCGUGCGUAAGGUACGCGAAACAUGGAGAGAUUAGCGCGUCACUGCUGCAUCAUUGGCGCGCAACUCGCGCAUACGUCGCGCGUCACUGACGCGAAGCAGGACGGAGGUCAGUUGUGAUUUGGACUGUCUUAUCCAUAUACAAUAUGAGAAUAAAUCUAAGUAUCCGAA